AUGUUCCGGCGUGCAGUGGUGGAGGAGUUUGGCCCAGAGGAAUUCGAGUCAACGAUGCACAAUCUUCUUCAGCUCCGUCAGACAGGAACAGUGGUUGAAUACAGACAACAGUUUGAGGUUCACAUGUAUAAUCUGAUUGCCCUCGACUCGACCCUGAGCUCCAAAUUUUUCGUCACCCAAUUCUUGCUUGGCCUGAAGGAUGACAUGCGCGCCACCGUGCGUAUUCAGGUACCCACCAGCAUCACCAGGGCGACAGUGUUUGCCAGGAUUCAGGAAGAGGAAUUGGAACUUCAGCGUUCCAGAUUCAGACCGCCAUCUGCAGGCAGACCACCACCAUUGUCGGGCAUAGUACCACCACUAGGACGGCCACCUCCUGCACCAUCAGCGCCCUCUCCGACCGCUCCAGCACCGCGGAUCGCCCUAGCACCAAAGCCAGCCGCGGACGACUUCGGGCGUGAGCGGCAGUUGCGGGAUUACAGACGCCAACACGGCCUCUGCUUUCGUUGCGGGGACAAAUACUCCCGUGAUCAUCAAUGCAAACGCUCUGCUCAGCUACUGACGAUUGAAGUGGGCGAUUUUGGAGAAGUACUCUCUGAUGAUGCAGUGCAUGCCCUGGAACUAUUGGAUGAACCUGCAAACACCGAUGCUACUUGUUGUCUCCUAUCAGCUCACGCCGUGGAGGGCACCGAAGCACCAGAAACUAUUCGACUGCAUGCCACAGUGGGUGAUCAAACUAUGUUGCUGCUCGUCGACUCCGGCAGUACGCACAGUUUUGUGAACUCCACAUUUGCUCAGCGCAUCAAAGCUCCAACAACAGAUAUUCCAGCAAUCAAGGUUCGAGUCGCCAACGAACAGAGCCUGAACUGCACGGCUAUGGUGCCUCAGCUAGCCCGGACCUCCCACAGACAUACCUUUGCCACAGACAUGCGCGUCCUCGAUUUAGGAGGCUACGAUGCAGUGCUCGGUGCGGAUUGGCUGGGACAGCACAGCCCAAUGCAGUGUGACUGGAACCUGAAGACCAUGCAAUUUGAUCGUCAGGGAGAAACAAUUAAGCUGACAGGUGUGCGCACUGGUGAUCAACAUCAACUCACAGCCCUAGAUGCUGCAACCUUAUGGCAAAUGCAUGACGCUAACGACAUAUGGGGGGCAGCUUUAGUGGAGAUUCAGCUAACAUCUGAGACGACAUCCGACUCUGACAUGCCUACUCCGCCUACCAUUCAGCGCAUCCUGACGGAGUUCAGUGACAUCUUCGAGGAACCAACCCAACUUCCUCCCCAUCGACAGUACGAUCACGCCAUUAAUUUGGAGCCAGGUGCAGCACCUGUCAACUGUCGACCCUACCGGUACUCUCCGUUACAGAAAGACGAGAUUGAACGUCAAGUGGAAGAAAUGCUUCGCACGAGCAUCAUUACACACAGCAUGAGCCCCUUCGCAGCCCCGGUGCUCCUGGUCAAGAAGAAGGACGGAACAUGGCGUUUCUGUGUGGACUAUCGACGUCUCAAUACCGUCACAAUCAAGAACAAGUUUCCUCUUCCUGUCAUCGACGAACUCUUGGAUGAACUCUCUGGUGCCGCCUUCUUCUCCAAAAUUGACUUGCGAGCGGGGUACCAUCAGAUUCGCAUGCGUGCGGGCGAUGAGGAAAAGACGGCCUUCAAGACACAUCAUGGUCAUUUUGAGUUCCGCGUCAUGCCCUUCGGCGUCACCAACGGCCCGCCCACAUUCCAAUGUGUGAUGAACUCGGCGUUCGCCGGGCCAAAUCGUAAGUUUGUGAUCACUUUUCUUGAUGACAUUCUCGUCUUCAGUCACACCUUGCAGGAGCAUGAAGCUCAUCUACGCACAGUCUUCUCCAUCCUCCGUGAGCAUCAGCUAUAUGCCAAGCUUUCCAAGUGUUCGUUCGCGCAACCCCAAGUCGAGUAUUUGGGCCAUGUAAUCUCCAAAGAGGGCGUGGCCACGGAUGCGAGCAAGACCAGUGCCAUGCGCGCGUGGCCCACACCGACAAAUGCCACAGAAUGGCGCGGGUUUCUGGGCCUCACCGGCUAUUACCGCAAAUUCGUGCCGCGUUAUGGGAUUAUCGCCAAGCCCCUCACUCAGCUCCUCACCAAGAAAGGCUUCGCCUGGUCGGCACAAGCACAAGCAGCGUUCGAUCUGCUCAAGGAUGCCAUGGCAAGCACGCCUGUCCUGGCGUUGCCUGAUUUCUCACGCCCAUUCUCUAUCGAGACGGACGCGUGUGACACAGGGGUGGGCGCAGUCCUGGUGCAAGACGGCCACCCAAUCGCCUACCUCAGCAAGGCUCUGGGCAUACGCAAUCAGCGUCUGUCGAUCUACGAGAAGGAGUUCCUCGUGGUGAUCAUGGCCGUGGACAAGUGGCGCACUUACCUCCAGCGCGCCCCGUUCGUCAUUGUCACGGAUCAUAAAAGCCUCUGCCAUCUCGGCGAUCAACAAUUGGAAACAGAGUUGCAGCGCAAGGCCAUGUCUAAGAUGGUGGGUCUCCAAUUUUCUUUCAAGUACCGCCGCGGCACGGACAAUGGCGCAGCUGAUGCACUAUCCCGCGUCGGUCACCUGCUCUCUCUGGAUGCCCUCUCCAUUUGUCAGCCCCAAUGGCUCCAGGAAGUAAGCAACUCCUAUGAAACUGACACGGACAGUCAAGAUUUGCUGCAACAACUCGCUCUGUGCAGCCCGGAUGAUCAAGGUUACGAAUUACGCCAAGGCACCAUUCGCUUCCAGAACAGGAUCUGGAUUGGCGCCAACAUAGCCCUACAGACCAAAUUGAUCAACGCAUUCCAUGCAAGUGUAGUUGGGGGACAUUCGGGAGUGACAGCAACUUAUCAACGUGUCAAGAAACUGUUCGCUUGGCGGGGUCUGAAACAAGCAGUGGAAGACUAUGUUCGUCAGUGUUCUAUCUGUCAGCAGGCCAAGCAUGAACAUCUGAAAACACCUGGACUGCUACAGCCACUCCCAAUUCCAUCAGAACCGUGGCGGGACCUCACUAUGGAUUUCGUCGAAGGAUUGCCAGUGUCCGAGGGCUACGAGGUGAUUAUGGUGGUGGUCGACCGCUUCACCAAAUAUGUCCACUUUGUUCCUCUUCGCCAUCCAUUCACAGCAACAACAGUGGCUCGAGCAUUUUGGGAUAACAUUAUCAAGUUGCAUGGAGUACCCCACUCCAUCGUAUCGGAUCGCGACCCGGUUUUCACCAGUGCAAUGUGGCGUGCUCUUCUGGAGGCAGCAGGAACAAAACUCAGCUAUUCCACAGCAUAUCACCCGCAGACGGAUGGUCAGAGUGAACGAGUCAACCAAUGUCUCGAGAUGUAUCUUCGGUGCGCCGUACACGACCAGCCAAAGAAAUGGCGACAAUGGUUACCUACUGCAGAGUUCUGGUACAAUACCACCCAUCACUCCUCGCUGAACACUUCACCCUUCCAAGUGCUAUAUGGUCAGGAGCCCAACUUGGGAGGACUGCCCACACUGGCCCGCACGAUGCCACAGGAUACUGAUGCAAAUUUGGAUUGGGCUACACAUAAUGAACAACUCCGUGUUCAGCUGGCCCGGGCUCAAAACAGAUACAAGCAAAAGGCUGAUCGCCACAGGACAGAUCGCUCUUUCCAAGUGGGUGAACAAGUUCUUCUGAAGCUGCAACCUUAUGCUCAAUCUACUGUGGCCAACCGUCCCUGCCCCAAAUUAGCAUUCAAGUUCUUCGGACCAUUCACCGUCGAGCAACGGAUCGGUUCUAUGGCUUACAAACUGCAGUUACCAUCAAACAGCCACAUUCAUCCGGUCUUCCAUGUAUCACAGUUGAAGCCAUUCACACCUGACUACUCUCCGGUCUUCUCCGAAUUGCCUCGUCCGCCCGACCUGACUGCUGCACCACUACAACCCGAGUUGAUACUGGAUCGCCGCAUAGUCAAGAAAGGUAACACCUCAGUCGUGCAGGUCUCUAUUCAGUGGUCCUCGCUCUCUCCAGAUUCGGCAACAUGGGAAGACUACACCGUCCUACGUCAUCGCUACCCCAACGCUCCAUGCUGGGCUCAAGACGCUCUCGCUCAAGGGGGGGAAAUUGUCACACCUGCUACGAUGUAG
RNAcentral lists this ribosomal RNA (4074 nucleotides) under Triticum aestivum (bread wheat). RNAcentral describes it as "partial small subunit ribosomal RNA". Lineage: Eukaryota; Viridiplantae; Streptophyta; Magnoliopsida; Poales; Poaceae. The record is from RNAcentral.